Molecule: ribosomal RNA, 451 nt
Filed under: uncultured bacterium
Lineage: Bacteria
Description: bacterial SSU rRNA
Rfam family: Bacterial small subunit ribosomal RNA
Source: RNAcentral
AACGAACGCUGGCGGCAGGCUUAACACAUGCAAGUCGAACGGGCGUAGCAAUACGUCAGUGGCAGACGGGUGAGUAACACGUGGGAACCUUCCUAGGGGUACGGAACAACUCAGGGAAACUUGAGCUAAUACCGUAUACGUCCGUGAGGAGAAAGAUUUAUCGCCCUUAGACGGGCCCGCGUCGGAUUAGCUAGUUGGUGGGUAACGGCCUACCAAGGCGACGAUCCGUAGCUGAUCUGAGAGGAUGAUCAGCCACACUGGGACUGAGACACGGCCCAGACUCCUACGGGAGGCAGCAGUGGGGAAUCUUGGACAAUGGGCGCAAGCCUGAUCCAGCCAUGCCGCGUGAGUGAAGAAGGCCUUCGGGUUGUUAAAGCUCUAUUGUCGGGACGGAUAAUGACGGUACCUGAAGAAUAAGCCCGGCAACUUACGUGCCAGCAGCCGCGGUAAU